This is a non-coding RNA of Nicotiana tabacum (common tobacco), 855 nucleotides long. NCBI's taxonomy places the organism in Eukaryota, Viridiplantae, Streptophyta, Magnoliopsida, Solanales, Solanaceae. The record is from RefSeq and is a predicted model, not a curated record.
CGGAAGAAAAUGAAAAACCAAGGAGCGCAAGAAAAAAAAUAAAGAGGAAAAGGGGCAAGAAGAGUGAACUUGGGAUGAUGCCAAUACGACCUUCGUACCCUCGAAAUCAUUUUAGAUCUGAUAACUGUGACUAGGUAUAUUGCUCAUAAUGUGAGAUUAUCUUAUGUUAAAUGCCUUAACACUAACGUGAUGACUUCAUUUUGUUCCUCUUUGUUAUGUUCAUUAUAGUAGAAGGGUGGUUGGUUUGUGGUUCUUAAACUGGGAACUCUUUCCUUCAAUAUAACAUCGAAAGGCAAUGACAGAGGACAACAGAAUUGAGUUGGUUGAUACUGGUGCCCGCCCAAAAGCAAUUGUUUCAACGAGACACUAUGUUGGUUGAAGAGAUGAGGAUGUUAAGACAACACAUGACAGACAUGUAUGAGGCUUGGAUGACUGGUAUUUAUCAAUUCCAUGGACACCACUUAAAAGUAGCUUGAAGCUUGGUUCUGAAAUGUGAACAAAUUGGAUGAUGGUUGCUAUUGAAUUCUCACUUCUGUUUCUUCCAUUUCAUGCAUAAUGUAUAUCAUUUAGUUCGGAGAUAGCUUGUUCGAGGUAUAUUUAUGGUUGAAUAGAGUAUGAAUAGGUUUAUAAUCACCUUAUUGUUGGGUGCACUUGCUAAGUUCUAUGUUCUAGAAUUAUCUUUGGUUUGCAACAUAGAACAAGUUAUGGCUUAGUUACUUGGAUGUCAUGGGGUUUGAAUUGGUGUAUAUGUAAAAGGGGACUUUCAAGGACAUUCAUAAUAGCUGUUGACUAAUUGUUUCGUAAUUUGUGUAAUUAUUCGAUGGCAUGAAAUUCUAGUACAUUUUAUGGAGCUUA